CACAGAGCAUUCUCCAGGGCAUAAGAAAGGGGAGGAGAGGAGGGAACAGAAGAGACUGCCCUGCCUCAAGACAAAUGCAGGGUGGAGCUGGCAUACAUCUUAAUCUCAACAACUGUUUCCAUCCUGAUCAGCCCAUGGUAGCUCUGGUGAGGAUACUUUGCCUUUUGUCUGCGCACUGUGAGAAAAUGCAUGGAAACAUUAUCCUCUUGGUUUUCUCACUUGAAGGAGAGGGGAAUUAGCUGUGUUUAUGUUUACCUAGGAAAUAUACCAGAAUGGAUUUCAAUUAUUGCCAAGAAAAUGUGGAACUCUGUGAUAUGAAGUUAGAGAGUUGUAUUUUCAUGGCGUAUUUUAUGUGCUUGCAUUCUGAACUUCUUCUGAAGAGUUCCUUCUUGAGAAGUCUCCCAGGAAGUCCCCUCCCAUCACAGAGAGCAUGGCAGGGUUUUUAGGACCUUGGAGGAGGUCACCUACUACAGUACUAAGCGCUGCAUUACUGAGCUCUGCAGCUCCUCGUUUUUGUUCCUCAGCUUCAUGUUUAGCUUGGAGACCAACCGAGAUCUGCUGAAUUCAGCUGGUGAUAGUUGGGGGGAGAGAGCUGUGGAAGCAGAGGCAGCGAAGGACAAUUGAGAGGAUUAAGUGAGUGAGCAUUUAAAAAUAAAAAAAUACUGCAACGAACAGAUCAGCCAGGACAGAACCAUGUGCUGAUGGCAUAACUCUGCAUGUUAUCAGUGCAGUUCUUGUUCUGCCUCAGUCCUUCUCAGGUUUCUGUAUCUCUCCUAACGCAGUAAGGGCAUGCCCACCCUGCUGCUGUAGAUGUAAUCGCGCUUUGCAGGGGCUUAACCAAGCCGGACUGAAACAUGCUGGCUGGCAGCAUGGCCACAGCAGUAUCCAGUGCAGUGAAGGCUGCCAAGUAUGCUGGGGGUGAGGGCAGAUAAGAAUUCAGAUGGGUUUUGCAGUGGACCCUGAUUUCUGUCUUGCUGUCUCCAUGCUGGUGUACGUGUCCAAUGAAUGUGGGCCUGCAGGGCUGUCCUGGUCCCCUACUUGCAAGGACAGGUGUUGAAAGCACUAAGCCCUUGCCUAAUCCUGUGUUUGCUGACGUCAGUGGGGAUUGUCAUGCUGACAUAAAGGGUUUGGUCUGCUGCCUCUACAGCAGUGGCAAAGUGUGUCAGGCUGCUGGGCUCCCCACAGCUGACAGCAUGGGGGACGACGUGCUGUGUGCAGGCCAGUCAGUUGGGACGUGGAGUGGCAAGCCAGCAUUGCCUUGACCUGAUGAACCAGAUCAUCUGGAAACACUUCAGCAGGACACAUCCAUGCGCAUUGCUGCUUAAUCCCAAGCAAGUCUGAACUGCUUUCCACAUCCCUAUGGAUCCACUAUCACUGUCUUCUGGCGCAUGAGCAAUUUACAGCAUAUAUCUGCAAAGCGUUAAUCAUCAGUGAGUAGACUUGUCCAACUUGCUACAGCAAAGCUGCCUUUAUGUAAAUUAUCAUUUAUUUUAAAUAAAUGAUUGGAAAGGAAAUGGAAAAUCAAUUUACCUUCUAGCUAUGAGAAAAUGUAGCAUAAAAUCUAGUCACUGCAUAUAUAAGAAAAGCUGCAUAGAAGUAGUCACUGAAGAGCAGGCUGGGACUCUGAACAGAUAUGAAUUGGGCAUGAUUUUCUUCAUCUUAGUAUCACUGGUCAUGGUAAGGCAUUGUGUGGUAGAGGCAAUGAUUCGAUUGUUAAAUGUCAGUUUUUAAAAUUGUAUGUCUGAUAACUGUUAUGUGGCAUUGAACAGACCAUGAACUGAGAAGCUUUUCAUGUGCAUGAGUUGGCAUAAACAUUGGAUUCAAGGGGCUUUGGUAAUACUUUGUAAUCCAUUUUGUGAGAGAAGGGAGAAUGAAUGAGAGUCCUGAACAAACCAGAUAUCCAUUCUUUGUAUUUCACCUACACAUACAGCAUGAGACCAUUAUGGACAUAGCCAAGGACAGAUUGGCCCUUUAGAAAAAAUCCCUGAUCAUCCAGCUGCUGCCUGUGGAGGUUCAAGCAUGCUAGCUCAAACACAAGAGGUGUGUAUAUUUCUGAGCCCAAUUAGCUGCCCAUGAAUAGAGAGUUCCAGAGUUCCGAUUCUGGCUCUAACAUCAACUGAAUUUCUGAAGAUCUUGAAUUUCAGUCAGAAGCAGCAAUAACAGAGUUCAUAUGGGCUGAGGAAACAAACAGGGUCAGUUUACCAGGAGCUUCAAGCCUGCCUGUAGGAGUUACAUCACUGGUUUAGAUAGAGUGCUGAAGAACUUGCCAAUGUUUUCAUAUCUGAUUAACAUCAAAGUGAGAUAGGAGAAGGUAUCCUCAGUUUCUGCUUUAUCUGAAACAGUUACCCCUAUGCCAGAGGCUUUGAGUUUUUAAUUUGCUGCCCUAAGAGUACUCAGAAAGGGUGGGACUGAGAAAGCUUUUCCUCAGAUAGAGAGCAUCAGUAGAUAAGGCUGAGCUUGUUCUUUGAGGAGCCCUGCAAGGCAGGCAUAAAGAAGGGGCUGACUCCUUUGCAAGUCAAAAUGUGGGCCAUAUUACCACUUCAAAUGAUAAAGGAAAGGCUUUCAGAAAUAGCAGUAAAAUAAAUGGUGGGGAUGAAACAAAACAGUCUUUACAAAUCCAGGAAGGAAGGGAGCCCAUAGCUCUUACACACUGGGCUAACAUUGCUUAGUUGCAUCUUUCUAUACCCUGACAAGAUUUCUCUCCAUCUUGACUCCUUGCUCUCCUGUUCUUGGUCGUCUUAAGCUCAAGUUUCAACACACAUUCUAGCUUCCCUUCAGUUCAGUCCAUGUUUGUUUGUGUCAAAGGACCAACGCUGAGGAAAAUUGUCUACUAUUGCAGUCUUAUCUAUCAUGAACUUGUUUAUGCAGUAAAACAUAUCAUUGUCUACCUGCAGGUCAUUUAAGGAUAUGACAACAAAGAAUUGCAUUAAGAGGAAAGAUUAGGUUCAUUUGGAGUUAUGAAAAAAUUCUGCAGGACUUUCAUUCUUAGAUAUAUUUAUCUAAAGGAAAUUGUGCUUCCUUUUUGCCCAUGGACAAGAUUUUGAGUGUAACAAAUUCACCAGUUUAGCUACGUAUUAAUUGUUGAAGUCAUUCAAAGAAAAUCCCAAAUUGCUGAAGAUCUCUUUACUGGAUAGUGUCAGCAAAA
Molecule: non-coding RNA, 3145 nt
Organism: Meleagris gallopavo (turkey)
Lineage: Eukaryota; Metazoa; Chordata; Aves; Galliformes; Phasianidae
Source: RefSeq, a predicted model, not a curated record